Labrus mixtus (cuckoo wrasse) is the source of this 2952-nucleotide long non-coding RNA. RefSeq lists it as uncharacterized. NCBI's taxonomy places the organism in Eukaryota, Metazoa, Chordata, Actinopteri, Labriformes, Labridae. The record is from RefSeq and is a predicted model, not a curated record. The transcript has 3 exons.
GUACUCUAUAAACUUGUACAAAUACUUUUAGUUUCGUUUGUUGAUUUAUUUAUGUAGUCAUUAACUAAUUUUAUGUUUACUUGUAGGGAGAAGUAUGCAGGUACAAAUCAAUUCCACACACCCCAACAUUUAUACUCUGAGCUCAUUUGCAAUUUCUGUCUCUUUAUUGGCUUUUAAAAUGAAGAAAACUCAAUAAGAAAUAUACAAGAGACAUCAGCCAAAACAACACAACAUUAUUAAGAACACAAAAAUCAACAACUUGUAGGGUGACCUUGAGUGUCCUGAGAGGCACCCUUAAAUAAAAUGUAUUAUUAUUAUUAUUAUUAUUAUUAUUAUUAUUAUUAUUAAUAUACAAGCCCUAACCCUAACCCUAACCCAUACAAUCAAAACCUAAACUGAACAAACACUAUUUUAGCAUUAAAAUGAGGAUUUCAUAACAUUUCAACUUUGUGGGGCAGCUUGUGAUACUCACUGACAUCAAGGAACAUGCCUCAUGUUUCUAUUGGUUGGUAUAAUCGGCCAAUCAGAUAGGGUGGCCUGUCUGGAGUCCCAACAUUUUUUUAGGGGGCAUUUAGCUGGCUGACAAGAGGUCUGCGAUAGAUAACAUUUUACACAUCUCCUUCACAGUGUUUGUGCUCCAAAACUCACACCUAGUUCAGGAGUUUAAGAAAUUCCGUCGUCCUUCCUCCCUGCAAGUCAUAAAAUGACAACAUGUUCCAGGCAAAGGAAACGCCAUGCUUCUCAGCCAAUAAUGAACGAGGGUGGGUGGGUUGCACAAAGCAUCUGUUAGCCAUUAGCAUCUGUCCAUUCAAACCAGCAGCACCCAAAUAAAGCUCUGCUUUCUGAACAGGUUAGAGUGUUAGAAAGUGGAGACACUUAUGCAUUGCAGUGUUAGGAGUCCUGUGUGUGCAUGCCAACAUAUCUGACACUUUCCAUAGAAGCUUCAGGUCAAGCUUAAAUCAAGUCAUGUGGUUGACUGAGCAGAAAUGUCCUCUUCAUAUUUGUACUGUUUCACCUGUCCGAACAUGUGUUCCUGGGAACACGGUGUGAAUAACCUUUAGACACACUAGCAGACCAGUAAACAAGUUGCUGGUCCGGAUUCAACCAGCCUGCAGUGACCUCACAGACAGCCCCCUGAAGAUGAAUCUGAGCCGUCACCACUCCGCUGUCCGGCUAUCGGAAUACCAUGAAGGUUGAGUCAGUGCUGUGAAGCAGCAUAUCUCCAUUACACAAUAAAUACAGAACAUUACACUAAAAAUAAAGUCAGGCCCUGCGUCACUUAAAGCAGAUGCCAAGAUAUUCUCACUUUUUGCCCUUUAAUGAGAUUGUGAAGACCACACUUCUUUGAUGCAUCUCAACAGUGUCUGCCAUUAGAUGAUUCUUUCAGCCUGUUCAACACUGACUUACAAUCUCUACACUCCUCCUGUUUGCAACGCUAGACCCUCUGAUACAUUUUCAAAGCAGAGAGGGCCACCAUGGUAAGUCAAAUUUCCUGACUUUAUUAUAGAGGUGGAGUGUAAAUUUAAUGAGUAACGCUUUUAAUGCUGCCAUCUUGUGUUCAGAAAUAUAACAAAGCCCUAGAAUAAAGCGCUGCUCUUUAACUGUUUUGGUGCAUUUGAAAACUUAUUUUAUAUCUUUAUUUUAGGGUACAAAAUUAUACCUUUAGGCUUGAAAUCUGUUUCGAUAGGACUUUUAAUUUUUUAAACUUUCUCAGUUCUCAAAAUUACUUACUGUUCUUAUGUAAUUCAGAAACAAAUAAAAGUUCAAAAUCAUUUAACAUCAUUUCUAAAUGACCUGUCCGCAUGGGGUCGAAAUAGUAAUUAAACUGUCAUAAGUAAAAAAUAUAUUUUGCUUACAUAAAAGUAUAGUCUUAUUUUUGGUCAGUGAUUUAGUUAGCCUCUUUUCUUGGAAAUAGUGAUGAUAUUUAUUAUCCUAGAAAGACUAAAACUAAAAUGUUGUUAACCAAAGCAUUAUUGUAUAGCCUUUGGGUGGCAGUUUAAGUGUCCCUGAGCCUCAAAAGGUCAGAAUCAAGCUAUAAAGGAAAUCAAAGAAGAGGCCGAGCCCUAUGUGCAGAUUUUCACAGAUGGAUCCUAAAAUCCUGAUGAUGGGAUGAAGUUGUACAUUUUAUGUCCCAGAACUGAAAGUGAAGAUAACCAGGAGAGCAACAGACCACACAUGCAGUUCAAAUGCUGGCAGUAGCCUUACAUGAUAGAGGAAACCCAUGUAGAUAUUAUUAUGUUCAGACUCAAGUGCAGAAUGAUUAGUAUUCAUCAUCAAACCGUAGACAAGAUAUUCUAUAUGACAUUUGGAUUACUUUUGUACAGAAGCAUCAGAUUAGAAAUAGAUGUUAAGUUUGUGUACCACAUCAUGUAGACGUUCAAGGGAAUGAGACAGUAGAUCACCUCGCUAAAAAUGGGUUUAAAGCAAAUCCAAAUUCCAAUACGGAAGGCAGAAACAUAAUAAUGUAUAUGUUAAUCAAGAAGCAGUGGGAGGUUUUCUGGGACACAGAUACUAAGGGAAGACAUAUAAGAUUCAGCAGAAAGUCGGAGAGAGGGAAGAUCACAGGAGAAAAACAGAACGGACAGCAGGAUAAGACUAUGACAUACCUAUUACAUUAAACUCAUCUCAAAAUCUCAUCUGGAAUCAUCCAAGUCCAACAUCUAACGGAAACUUGCAACUUCCGCAAUCAAAUGGAAACUGGGGAGAUGUCUGCUCCAAUUACACAAAUGAAAAAUAUAAAGGACUUACAAAUAGUUCUUGGGUAAUUAAAAUAUAUCUUCACCUUUCUACAUAGCCUAAUUUUGGACUGACAACAAGAGUAGGUUAUAAACAAUGAAGGAACAGUAAAGGUAUAUGGAACAAUCUCAACAGAGAAACUAAAGAAUCAAAAUCAAACAUGAUAUUUAAAAGAAAAAUGAAAGCCAGUUUGUUGAAUAUGUGGAAAUAUGUCAG